Sipha flava (yellow sugarcane aphid) is the source of this 684-nucleotide long non-coding RNA. RefSeq lists it as uncharacterized. NCBI's taxonomy places the organism in Eukaryota, Metazoa, Arthropoda, Insecta, Hemiptera, Aphididae. The transcript has 3 exons. The record is from RefSeq and is a predicted model, not a curated record.
AUUAAAAAAUAAUGUUGGAAAAUGAAAAAAAAAAUGUCAAUUUUUAUUUAUAACAUAUUUUCUUAUAGUUUCAAUAAAAGAUAAAUGUUGUUAUUAACAAAAAACUAACGUAUUCAAAGAACUUAUUAAAUAUUAAAUGUGAUAACAAACUACUUAGAAGUACUUUGUCAAUUUAUCUUAUAAUUAGUAGAGUAUUCACAAGAAAAUCAGUACUAUAGGCACGUACCUCUAUAAUAAGGCGUUUUAUGUGACAACACAUUUUAAAGACUUCCAAAAUUAAUACUCCGACUCAAUAUCAAAAUGGAAAGAAAAAACAUUGGUUGUGUAUUUAAAGAACUAAAAGACAAUGAUGAUAAUAUUGACGAAUUUUCAAGUGAUGAUGUAAGUUUAGUACUUAUCAGUACUAUUUAGUACUAUGACUGUAUGAGUCAUAGUCCAAAUAGUAAUGUAAAAUAUUGUGUAGGUACUUUGUUGCUUUGUUGGGCUGGUGAAGUAUAACGUAUAUAAAAUGCAUACCUUAGUCUUUUUGAUUAAAAACUAAUUUUUAAUAUUAUUUGUAACCAGGUUUUUUGAAGUGGAAAAUUACUUAUGAAAUACAAUGGGAUAUUUUGGAAAGUUUUAUGUUGAUGAAUAAAGAAAAAUAUUAACUAAAUACAACUGUUUCAAAUGGUAUUAAAAAUAAAU